CACUGUUAACUUCCACCAUGGCAUAGCCUGCUCUUCUCCCAGGGAGACUAACCCUCUAAGGGAACAGACAUGCUCUACCACAGACACUACCAGGGAUCUAUGCUGCCGUCUCGUCCUGUUCAUCAGUGAUUUACGUUGGAGGAACCAUGGUGAGCAAGGCAGAGGGUGGUAAAUGCAUGCUCACCAACUCCGAGUCGGACUCCGAGGCGGCGCCCCCCCCCUCCCCGUCCGCCUCGCUGGCCCUGGAGGUCAAAUACUCCUUCCUGGACACCAGCAGCAGGUCACAGCAGCAGGUAAGGAAGAGGAACAAGGCCCUCCAGGUGAGGUUCAAGGACAUCUGUGAUGCGCAGAAGGAGCAGAGAGAGGCCGCACUACAGACGGCUGGGAAGGGGGGCAAGCCUGUCUCCU
Coregonus clupeaformis (lake whitefish) is the source of this 408-nucleotide long non-coding RNA. RefSeq lists it as uncharacterized. The record is from RefSeq and is a predicted model, not a curated record. The transcript has 3 exons. Lineage: Eukaryota; Metazoa; Chordata; Actinopteri; Salmoniformes; Salmonidae.